This 440-nucleotide ribosomal RNA is filed under the name uncultured bacterium. RNAcentral's name for it is "partial 16S ribosomal RNA". It matches the Rfam family "Bacterial small subunit ribosomal RNA", at positions 338 to 795 of the family's 1533-position model. The record is from RNAcentral.
CCUACGGGUGGCAGCAGUGGGGAAUAUUGCACAAUGGGGGAAACCCUGAUGCAGCGACGCCGCGUGAGCGAUGAAGUAUUUCGGUAUGUAAAGCUCUAUCAGCAGGGAAGAACAUGACGGUACCUGACUAAGAAGCCCCGGCUAACUACGUGCCAGCAGCCGCGGUAAUACGGAGGGGGCAAGCGUUAGUCGGAUUUACUGGGGGUAAAGGGAGCGUAGACGGUCCUGCAAGUCAGCUGUGAAAUCCCGGGGCUAAACCCAGGGACUGCAUUUGAAACUGUAAGGCUAGAGUGUAGGAGAGGCAGGCGGAAUUCGUAGUGGAGCGGUGAAAUGCGUAGAGAUGAGGAGGAACACCAGUGGCGAAGGCGGCCUGCUGGACGAUGACUGACGUUGAGGCUCGAAAGCGUGGGUAGCAAACAGGAUUAGAUACCCCAGUAGUC